UACGUAGGGGGCUAGCGUUGUCCGGAAUCAUUGGGCGUAAAGCGCGUGUAGGCGGUCCGGUAAGUCCGCUGUGAAAGUCGGGGGCUCAACCCUCGAAUGCCGGUGGAUACUGUCGAGCUUGAGUCCGGAAGAGGCGAGUGGAAUUCCUGGUGUAGCGGUGAAAUGCGCAGAUAUCAGGAGGAACACCUAUGGCGAAGGCAGCUCGCUGGGACGUGACUGACGCUGAGACGCGAAAGCGUGGGGAGCAAACAGG
This 253-nucleotide ribosomal RNA is filed under the name uncultured bacterium. RNAcentral describes it as "partial 16S ribosomal RNA". It matches the Rfam family "Bacterial small subunit ribosomal RNA", at positions 524 to 776 of the family's 1533-position model. The record is from RNAcentral.